Molecule: ribosomal RNA, 368 nt
Filed under: uncultured organism
Description: bacterial SSU rRNA
Rfam family: Bacterial small subunit ribosomal RNA
Source: RNAcentral
CGGAGGGUGCAAGCGUUAUCCGGAUUCACUGGGUUUAAAGGGUGCGUAGGCGGGCAGGUAAGUCCGUGGUGAAAUCUCUGAGCUUAACUCAGAAACUGCCAUGGAUACUAUUUGUCUUGAAUAUUGUGGAGGUAAGCGGAAUAUGUCAUGUAGCGGUGAAAUGCUUAGAUAUGACAUAGAACACCAAUUGCGAAGGCAGCUUGCUACACAGUUAUUGACGCUGAGGCACGAAAGCGUGGGGAUCAAACAGGAUUAGAUACCCUGGUAGUCCACGCCCUAAACGAUGAUUACUCGACAUCAGCGAUACACUGUUGGUGUCUGAGCGAAAGCAUUAAGUAAUCCACCUGGGAAGUACGACCGCAAGGUUG